AAAGCGUGCGCAGGCGGUUUUGUAAGUCUGUCGUGAAAGCCCCGGGCUCAACCUGGGAAUUGCGAUGGAGACUGCAAGGCUUGAAUCUGGCAGAGGGGGGUAGAAUUCCACGUGUAGCAGUGAAAUGCGUAGAGAUGUGGAGGAACACCGAUGGCGAAGGCAGCCCCCUGGGUCAAGAUUGACGCUCAUGCACGAAAGCGUGGGGAGCAAACAGGAUUAGAUACCCUAGU
Molecule: ribosomal RNA, 230 nt
Filed under: uncultured bacterium
Lineage: Bacteria
Description: partial 16S ribosomal RNA
Rfam family: Bacterial small subunit ribosomal RNA
Source: RNAcentral